Molecule: ribosomal RNA, 503 nt
Filed under: uncultured bacterium
Lineage: Bacteria
Description: bacterial SSU rRNA
Rfam family: Bacterial small subunit ribosomal RNA
Source: RNAcentral
GAUGAACGCUGGCGGCGUGGAUUAGGCAUGCAAGUCGAACGGUAUCAUCCUUUCGGGGGUGAGAGAGUGGCGAACUGGUGAGUAACACGUAGGUUAUCUACCCUCAAGACGGGGACAACCCAGGGAAACUUGGGCUAAUACCGGAUGUGAGCAACUUUUAGUUGUUUGAAAGGUGGCGUAAGCUGUCGCUUGGGGAUGAGCCUGCGUCCUAUUAGUUAGUUGGUGAGGUAACGGCUCACCUAGGCAAUGAUAGGUAGGCGGCCUUAACGGGUGGUCGCCCACACUGGGAUUGAGAUACGGCCCAGACUCCUACGGGAGGCAGCAGUCGAGAAUAGUCUACAAUGGUCGGAAGACUGAUAGUGCGACGCCGCGUGAACGAUGAAUCCCUUCGGGUGUAAAGUUCUUUUAUAUGUGAGCAGUGCUUCUUAUAUUAACAGUAUGGGGAGAGAGAUAUUAGCAUAUGAAUAAGCAACGGCUAACUCCGUGCCAGCAGCCGCGGUAAA